AACGUAGGAGGCAAGCGUUGUCCGGAUUUACUGGGCGUAAAGAGCGCGUAGGCGGUCUAUUAAGUGAGAAGUGAAAUUUCUAGAGCUCAACUCAGAAACUGCUUCUCAUACUGAUAGACUUGAGGAAUGUAGGGGUGAAUGGAAUUCCUGGUGUAGCGGUGACAUGCAUUGAUAUCAGGAGGAACACCUAUGGCGAAGGCAGUUCACUGGACAUUUCCUGACGCUGAGGCGCGAAAGCGUGGGUAGCAAACAGA
RNAcentral lists this ribosomal RNA (254 nucleotides) under uncultured bacterium. Its description in RNAcentral is "partial 16S ribosomal RNA". It matches the Rfam family "Bacterial small subunit ribosomal RNA", at positions 524 to 776 of the family's 1533-position model. The record is from RNAcentral.